This 400-nucleotide ribosomal RNA is filed under the name phytoplankton environmental sample. Its description in RNAcentral is "partial small subunit ribosomal RNA". It matches the Rfam family "Eukaryotic small subunit ribosomal RNA", at positions 587 to 991 of the family's 1831-position model. The record is from RNAcentral.
AGCUCCAAUAGCGUAUAUUAAUGUUGUUGCAGUUAAAAAGCUCGUAGUUGAAUUUCUGGGUAGUGCGCCCUGUCCGCCUAUGGUGUGCACAGGGAACGGCGCUACUCAUCCUUCUGAAGAACCCAUCAGUCAUUCAUUUGUCUGGUGGUGGUGGAUCAGAUACUUUACUUUGAAAAAAUUAGAGUGUUUCAAGCAGGCAAUCGCUGGAAUACAUUAGCAUGGAAUAAUAGAAUAGGAUUUUGGUACUAUUUGUUGGUUUUUAGGACCAAAGUAAUGAUUAAUAGGGAUAGUUGGGGGCAUUAGUAUUUAAUUGUCAGAGGUGAAAUUCUUGGAUUUGUUAAAGACUAACUUAUGCGAAAGCAUUUGCCAAGGAUGUUUUCAUUAAUCAAGAACGAAAGUA